RNAcentral lists this ribosomal RNA (447 nucleotides) under uncultured bacterium. RNAcentral describes it as "bacterial SSU rRNA". It matches the Rfam family "Bacterial small subunit ribosomal RNA", at positions 355 to 825 of the family's 1533-position model. The record is from RNAcentral.
UCGGGAAUUUUGGGCAAUGGGCGAAAGCCUGACCCAGCAACGCCGCGUGAAGGAUGAAGUAUUUCGGUAUGUAAACUUCGUAAGAAUAGGAAGAAUAAAUGACGGUACUAUUUGUAAGGUCCGGCUAACUACGUGCCAGCAGCCGCGGUAAUACGUAGGGACCAAGCGUUGUUCGGAUUUACUGGGCGUAAAGGGCGCGUAGGCGGUGUGUCAAGUCAGUUGUGAAAUCUCCGAGCUUAACUCGGAACGGUCAACUGAUACUGUCACACUAGAGUACAGAAGGGGCAAUCGGAAUUCUUGGUGUAGCGGUGAAAUGCGUAGAUAUCAAGAGGAACACCUGAGGCGAAGGCGGGUUGCUGGGCUGACACUGACGCUGAGGCGCGAAAGCCAGGGGAGCAAACGGGAUUAGAUACCCAGGUAGUCCCUGAGCGGGCUGGCAAGGCGCAU